RNAcentral lists this small nucleolar RNA (158 nucleotides) under Xenopus laevis (African clawed frog). Lineage: Eukaryota; Metazoa; Chordata; Amphibia; Anura; Pipidae. The record is from RNAcentral.
GCAGCACACUGAUUAAAGCUUGGAGCUGAGGCCAGUCUGGCCAGUGAACUUUCAAGUGUCGGAAGUGUGCUAAAUUAACUUUAUGGCAGGUCUUUCGCUAACACCGUCAGAGCUUCAAGCUCAAUGAUCGGGGUUUGAUAGUAGUCUCUGCCACACUU